AAGAUGUUUCCCAAACAUUUUUGAAUUCACAGGGUCUACUUUAAUUUGUAUUAAAUGACUUGUUAUAUAUAUAUACGUAUAAGAAUUACUUCCAUGUUAGUUUAACUUUUGCUACCCCUCAGUAGUUUGGGUACAUUAAAGUAUUUGGAACAAAUCAAUGUUAGAUACAAGUCAAAAAUGUGAGACACUACAUAACUAACUGCACUGAGAAAAAGUGGUGGAGACCAAACUCAAGACUUAUUGUAUUUAUUGUAUGAAUAACUACAUAUAACAACAGUCAUAAGGACAUGAAAAAGGUCAUGAUAACAAAAGGCCAUACGGACCAUCAAGAUUUUCCCUAUUCCUACCAGGAUCAAAAUGAAAUGUAACUUUCGUGUCUAUAUAUUUAUUCAACAAGUAUUUCCAAGAGUUUAAUAGCACACUACAUCAUCAAAACCCACAUAUAACUGUUUGGAAAAUUUAGAUAGUAUUCAUUGUACUACAGAGGCUAUGAAGAAACUUCAGAAUCAACCAAUAUAAACUGUAAUGCCUGUGGAAAACAGUAUUCAUCAAAAACAAUUAUUGUGAUCAUAUAGGCACCACCAGCACAACAGUCAUUGCCACUUUUUCAUGUUUUUAUUUUGGGAAAGUCUUCACUAGGAGAAAAGCAUUACAUUAUCAUAUAAACAUUGAUAACUAGGUGAACACAGGGUUGAGUAGGUUAUGUUAAAAUUAAUAUGGAUAAUUAAAUUAGCAAGUCAUUUGACAACCACAGCUGAUAUAAAGUCAGCGUGAGGUGGAAUUUUGAGAACUACAUCUUGACAUUUUUUAGGUAGUGUGAUGCCACCCAAAUUUUAUUACAGUUGGGAAAGGAAUGAAGAGCCCUUUCUGAUGCAAAAUAUUCAUAUUCAAAUAUCAUAAAGAUGUGUUUAGAUUGGGGAUUGAGAAUUUCUAAUAUGGGAUAUCUCUUGUACUUUAUGGCAUUAAAAAACAAAGGAAUAUUGAACAACUUGGGACAAUUCAGAAUGAGAUUUGUCUUAACCUAGCCAUGGUAAGCAAAAUGUGGUAUCUUUUAACAGGAAUCCACAAACAUAAAAGUGUUUAUUUGACUCAGAAAACAGUGAACAAUAUAAUCAAGAAAGAUCUUCAUCUGAGAAAAAAACACAAGUUGCUUUGAAGAGACAUCUGUUUAAUUACCACAUAGCUCGAUUGGUUGGAAAAUGGAUAUUCAUGCUAUUUCAUAGGAGCACAUACCAGUCAAGCCACCAGACACAGAGGUUAUGGAUUUCUGUGUCACUGGAAACUAUCAUCUUCAUACACAAGAUGGUCUAUGAAACCUAUGCAAUUAGGAGAGUUGUGCUUUGGACAUGACCCCCUUUUGCAAAGAAACUGCACUGCAGGGCUAUUGUCAAGAUGCAUGAUCAUCAGAUAGAUCAUGACCAGAUGUGAUGAAACAUUAAAAUUGUUUUAAUAUAACAUACUCAACCUCUGUACAUGUAUAGCUAAUAAAUCCAAUCUAUUGAUCACUUCGUGUAGAAAUGCUCACCAAAAAAACAACACACUGAUAUUGUAUCAGCAAUUCACAGUAUUUAAAUAAAGUGUAUUAUUACCAUUAAUUGGUGUAGCCAGGGGAAUAUUUUUUUGAUAUCACAAUAUCUUUUUAAAGAAAUUACUUUUGUUGCAGUAAUCAUAGAAAUUAAAUUCUGUCAGUAUCAAUUAAACGUUUGUUAAACAUGUAUCACUUGUCCUAUAGCACCACAACUUGUACAUAUCUUGUUGGUACUUUAGCUUUUAAUAUACAUGAAAUGGUAUUAUUGAAAUGUGUUAUGAGAGGUAUUUUUAAUAUGUACACAUAAAAUGUACAUUAUUUUCAAUUGCAGUUGUUGUAGUAUUGUGUUGCAAUCUUUUUAAAACGUUUUUUUUAUUAUGCUUUCUAGAUGUGGCUGUACUUAAAAAUGAACAACUUUAGCCAAAUUUACUCAUAAAUAAAUAUAUAACCAGUUAAUAGUUCAACUGUGAAUGCCCCCAGUGGCACAGUGGUAUGUCUGCGGACUUAUACCACUAGAAACUGGGUUUCAAUACCCAUGGUGAGCA
This is a long non-coding RNA of Limulus polyphemus (Atlantic horseshoe crab), 2073 nucleotides long. RefSeq lists it as uncharacterized. Lineage: Eukaryota; Metazoa; Arthropoda; Merostomata; Xiphosura; Limulidae. The transcript has 4 exons. The record is from RefSeq and is a predicted model, not a curated record.